Molecule: long non-coding RNA, 230 nt
Filed under: Elaeis guineensis (African oil palm)
Lineage: Eukaryota; Viridiplantae; Streptophyta; Magnoliopsida; Arecales; Arecaceae
Description: long non-coding RNA (EGUI_LNC063669)
Source: RNAcentral
AUCAUCUAUAAAAGGAGGGUAAGUGAAUAGCACCGGUAAGACACUUUUGAGCCAGAGCUCUGCUACUCUCGAUAUUCAAAUCUAUUGUUCACUAAUUUUCUCUCUGACUUAAGCAUCAGAGGAUCCCCAUUGGAUACAACUCUGAUCUGUGAGGAUGCUGUUUUGCAGGUGCUCAUCACCAGCGACAGAUGAUAGAGAGUUGGCCGCAACAGAUUGACGGUCAGGAAGGG